RNAcentral lists this transfer RNA (87 nucleotides) under Roseospira visakhapatnamensis. RNAcentral describes it as "tRNA-Leu". It matches the Rfam family "tRNA". Rfam says of the family: Transfer RNA (tRNA) molecules are approximately 80 nucleotides in length. Their secondary structure includes four short double-helical elements and three loops (D, anti-codon, and T loops). The record is from RNAcentral. Lineage: Bacteria; Pseudomonadati; Pseudomonadota; Alphaproteobacteria; Rhodospirillales; Rhodospirillaceae.
GCCCGGGUGGCGGAAUUGGUAGACGCACCGGACUCAAAAUCCGGCGGUGGGAACACCAUGCGAGUUCGAGUCUCGCCCCGGGCACCA